RNAcentral lists this ribosomal RNA (631 nucleotides) under uncultured fungus. RNAcentral's name for it is "eukaryotic LSU rRNA". The stretch from base 223 to 373 matches the Rfam family "5.8S ribosomal RNA". Lineage: Eukaryota; Fungi. The record is from RNAcentral.
UAGGUGAACCUGCGGAAGGAUCAUUAAAAAUGCGGCCGGUUCUCUUUCGGGAGGAUUGGUCAACAGAUUUAAUUCUAUGCUCGCUGAUGAUCGUCGGGUUUUCUUGAAUGCUCGCUGUAGUGCUCCUGGGUAUUGCUCUUUUUCCUUUGGGAAGAAAUCAGCUUGCAUGCUCGUGAUAGUCGCUCGUGAUAGUGAAAACAGAAAAUUGUUUAAAUGCUCGCUGAUAGUCGCUGGUGGAUCUCUCGGCUUUCGUAUCGAUGAAGAACGCAGCAAAUCGCGAUAUGUAGUGUGAUCUGCCUAUAGUGAAUCAUCAAAUCUUUGAACGCAUCUUGCACCCUUGGGUAUUCCUGAGGGUACGCCUGUUUCAGUAUCAUUUUAACUUCAUCUCCUUUCGAGGGGUUUGAAAAUGCUCGCUGUAGAAUGCUCCGUGAGAGUCGUCCGUAAGGCUGCUCGGAGAUUCCCGGAGAUGCUGCUGAUAGUCCGUCGUAGACCUUUGGUAGAAUUUAUUAGUCGCUCGUAGAUGAAUUGAAGCCAGUCUAGAAGCUAUACCGUCGAAAGACAACCCCAAAAACCUUGAUCUGAAAUCAGGCGGGAUAGUCGCUCGUAGAUGCUGCUAUCAAUAAGCGGAGGA